AGUGAACGCUGGCGGUAGGCCUAACACAUGCAAGUCGAAUGGCAGCACAGAGGAGCUUGCUCCUUGGGCGGCGAGUGGCGGACGGGUGAGGAAUACAUCGGAAUCUACUCUGUCGUGGGGGAUAACGUAGGGAAACUUACGCUGAUACCGCAUACGACCUACGGGUGAAAGCAGGGGAUCUUCGGACCUUGCGCGAUUGAAUGAGCCGAUGUCGGAUUAGCUAGUUGGCGGGGUAAAGGCCCACCAAGGCGACGAUCCGUAGCUGGUCUGAGAGGAUGAUCAGCCACACUGGAACUGAGACACGGUCCAGACUCCUACGGGAGGCAGCAGUGGGGAAUAUUGGACAAUGGGCGCAAGCCUGAUCCAGCCAUACCGCGUGGGUGAAGAAGGCCUUCGGGUUGUAAAGCCCUUUUGUUGGGAAAGAAAUCCAUCUGGUUAAUACCCGGGUGGGAUGACGGUACCCAAAGAAUAAGCACCGGCUAACUUCGUGCCAGCCGCCGCCGUAA
RNAcentral lists this ribosomal RNA (506 nucleotides) under uncultured bacterium. Its description in RNAcentral is "partial 16S ribosomal RNA". It matches the Rfam family "Bacterial small subunit ribosomal RNA", at positions 29 to 523 of the family's 1533-position model. The record is from RNAcentral.